UUGGUGCUUGCACCAAUACUUAGCGGCGGACGGGUGAGUAAUGCUUAGGAAUCUGCCUAUUAGUGGGGGACAACAUCUCGAAAGGGAUGCUAAUACCGCAUACGCCCUACGGGGGAAAGCAGGGGAUCUUCGGACCUUGCGCUAAUAGAUGAGCCUAAGUCGGAUUAGCUAGUUGGUGGGGUAAAGGCUUACCAAGGCGACGAUCUGUAGCGGGUCUGAGAGGAUGAUCCGCCACACUGGGACUGAGACACGGCCCAGACUCCUACGGGAGGCAGCAGUGGGGAAUAUUGGACAAUGGGGGGAACCCUGAUCCAGCCAUGCCGCGUGUGUGAAGAAGGCCUUUUGGUUGUAAAGCACUUUAAGCGAGGAGGAGGCUACUCUAGUUAAUACCUAGGGAUAGUGGACGUUACUCGCAGAAUAAGCACCGGCUAACUCUGUGCCAGCAGCCGCGGUAAUACAGAGGGUGCGAGCGUUAAUCGGAUUUACUGGGCGUAAAGCGUGCGUAGGCGGCUUUUUAAGUCGGAUGUGAAAUCCCUGAGCUUAACUUAGGAAUUGCAUUCGAUACUGGGAAGCUAGAGUAUGGGAGAGGAUGGUAGAAUUCCAGGUGUAGCGGUGAAAUGCGUAGAGAUCUGGAGGAAUACCGAUGGCGAAGGCAGCCAUCUGGCCUAAUACUGACGCUGAGGUACGAAAGCAUGGGGAGCAAACAGGAUUAGAUACCCUGGUAGUCCAUGCCGUAAACGAUGUCUACUAGCCGUUGGGGCCUUUGAGGCUUUAGUGGCGCAGCUAACGCGAUAAGUAGA
RNAcentral lists this ribosomal RNA (800 nucleotides) under uncultured Gammaproteobacteria bacterium. Its description in RNAcentral is "bacterial SSU rRNA". It matches the Rfam family "Bacterial small subunit ribosomal RNA", at positions 73 to 868 of the family's 1533-position model. The record is from RNAcentral. Lineage: Bacteria; Pseudomonadati; Pseudomonadota; Gammaproteobacteria.